RNAcentral lists this ribosomal RNA (793 nucleotides) under uncultured bacterium. RNAcentral describes it as "bacterial SSU rRNA". It matches the Rfam family "Bacterial small subunit ribosomal RNA", at positions 8 to 798 of the family's 1533-position model. The record is from RNAcentral.
AGAGUUUGAUCAUGGCUCAGAUUGAACGCUGGCGGCAUGCCUUACACAUGCAAGUCGAACGGUAACAGGUCUUCGGAUGCUGACGAGUGGCGAACGGGUGAGUAAUACAUCGGAACGUGCCCGAUCGCGGGGGAUAACGAGGCGAGAGCUUUGCUAAUACCGCAUACGAUCUACGGAUGAAAGCGGGGGAUCUUCGGACCUCGCGCGGACGGAGCGGCCGAUGGCAGAUUAGGUAGUUGGUGGGAUAAAAGCUUACCAAGCCGACGAUCUGUAGCUGGUCUGAGAGGAUGAUCAGCCACACUGGGACUGAGACACGGCCCAGACUCCUACGGGAGGCAGCAGUGGGGAAUUUUGGACAAUGGGCGAAAGCCUGAUCCAGCCAUGCCGCGUGCAGGAUGAAGGCCUUCGGGUUGUAAACUGCUUUUGUACGGAACGAAAAGCCUCUUUCUAAUAAAGAGGGGUCAUGACGGUACCGUAAGAAUAAGCACCGGCUAACUACGUGCCAGCAGCCGCGGUAAUACGUAGGGUGCAAGCGUUAAUCGGAAUUACUGGGCGUAAAGCGUGCGCAGGCGGUUUUGUAAGACAGAGGUGAAAUCCCCGGGCUCAACCUGGGAACUGCCUUUGUGACUGCAAGGCUGGAGUGCGGCAGAGGGGGAUGGAAUUCCGCGUGUAGCAGUGAAAUGCGUAGAUAUGCGGAGGAACACCGAUGGCGAAGGCAAUCCCCUGGGCCUGCACUGACGCUCAUGCACGAAAGCGUGGGGAGCAAACAGGAUUAGAUACCCCGGUAGUCCAA